This 73-nucleotide transfer RNA is filed under the name Antennarius striatus (striated frogfish). RNAcentral describes it as "tRNA-Asn". Lineage: Eukaryota; Metazoa; Chordata; Actinopteri; Lophiiformes; Antennariidae. The record is from RNAcentral.
UAGGCGGAUGUUCGCUGGUUUGGACGCUUAGCUGUUAACUAAAUAUUUGUGGGAUCGAGGCCCGCUCGCCUAG